AAUAUUGGACAAUGAGCGAAAGCCUGAUCCAGCCAUGCCGCGAGUGUGAUAAAGUCCUUCGGUUUGCAAAGCAUUUUAAGUCGGGAGGAAGGGCAGUAAGAUAAUAGCUUGCUGUUUUGACGUCACCGACAGAAUAAGCACCGGCUAACUGCGUGACACCAGCCGCGGUAAUACGAAGGGUGCAAGCGUUAAUCGGAAUUACUGGGCGUAAAGCGCGUGUAGGUGGUUUGUUAAGUUGGAAGUGAGAGCGCCGAGCUCAACCUGGGAACUGCUUUCAAUACUGGCAAGCUAGAGUAUGGCAGAUGGUGGUGGAAUUUCCUGUGUAGCGGUGAAAUGCGUAGCUAUAGGAAGGAACACCAGUGGCGAAGGCGACCACCUGGGCUAAUACUGACACUGAGGUGCGAAAGCGUGGGGAGCAAAC
This 421-nucleotide ribosomal RNA is filed under the name uncultured bacterium. Its description in RNAcentral is "partial 16S ribosomal RNA". It matches the Rfam family "Bacterial small subunit ribosomal RNA", at positions 360 to 773 of the family's 1533-position model. The record is from RNAcentral.